RNAcentral lists this ribosomal RNA (489 nucleotides) under uncultured bacterium. Its description in RNAcentral is "partial 16S ribosomal RNA". It matches the Rfam family "Bacterial small subunit ribosomal RNA", at positions 28 to 507 of the family's 1533-position model. The record is from RNAcentral.
GAUGAACGCUAGCUACAGGCUUAACACAUGCAAGUCGCGGGGCAGCAUGGGGGUUGCUUGCAAUCCCCGAUGGCGACCGGCGCACGGGUGAGUACGCGUAUCCAACCUGCCCUUCACCACGGGAUAACCCGGCGAAAGUCGGACUAAUACCGUAUGUUGUCCAUUGACGGCAUCCGAUUUGGACGAAAGGUUUGGCGGUGAAGGAUGGGGAUGCGUCCGAUUAGCUGGACGGCGGGGUGACGGCCCACCGUGGCGACGAUCGGUAGGGGUUCUGAGAGGAAGGUCCCCCACACUGGAACUGAGACACGGUCCAGACUCCUACGGGAGGCAGCAGUGAGGAAUAUUGGUCAAUGGGCGUAAGCCUGAACCAGCCAAGUAGCGUGCAGGAUGACGGCCCUAUGGGUUGUAAACUGCUUUUAUGCGGGGAUAAAGUGGCCCACGUGUGGGUUUUUGCAGGUACCGCAUGAAUAAGGACCGGCUAAUUCCGUG